GUGAUGGUCGUCCAAAGGCAGGACGCCGCGCUGUGGCCGCGGAAAUCCAGGGUUCGAGUCCCGGCUGUCACC
RNAcentral lists this transfer RNA (72 nucleotides) under Deinococcus aerius. It matches the Rfam family "tRNA". From Rfam's summary of the family: Transfer RNA (tRNA) molecules are approximately 80 nucleotides in length. Their secondary structure includes four short double-helical elements and three loops (D, anti-codon, and T loops). The record is from Rfam by way of RNAcentral. Lineage: Bacteria; Thermotogati; Deinococcota; Deinococci; Deinococcales; Deinococcaceae.